This 494-nucleotide ribosomal RNA is filed under the name uncultured bacterium. Its description in RNAcentral is "partial 16S ribosomal RNA". It matches the Rfam family "Bacterial small subunit ribosomal RNA", at positions 28 to 507 of the family's 1533-position model. The record is from RNAcentral.
GACGAACGCUGGCGGCGUGCCUAAUACAUGCAAGUCGAGCGGACUUAAAAAGCUUGCUUUUUAAGUUAGCGGCGGACGGGUGAGUAACACGUGGGCAACCUGCCUGUAAGACUGGGAUAACUUCGGGAAACCGGAGCUAAUACCGGAUAAUCCUUUUCUACUCAUGUAGAAAAGCUGAAAGACGGUUUACGCUGUCACUUACAGAUGGGCCCGCGGCGCAUUAGCUAGUUGGUGAGGUAACGGCUCACCAAGGCGACGAUGCGUAGCCGACCUGAGAGGGUGAUCGGCCACACUGGGACGGAGACACGGCGCAGACUCCUACGGGAGGCAGCAGUAGGGAAUCUUCCGCAAUGGACGAAAGUCUGACGGAGCAACGCCGCGUGAGUGAUGAAGGUUUUCGGAUCGUAAAACUCUGUUGUUAGGGAAGAACAAGUACGAGAGUAACUGCUCGUACCUUGACGGUACCUAACCAGAAAGCCACGGCUAACUACGUG